This is a long non-coding RNA of Humulus lupulus (European hop), 1143 nucleotides long. RefSeq lists it as uncharacterized. The record is from RefSeq and is a predicted model, not a curated record. NCBI's taxonomy places the organism in Eukaryota, Viridiplantae, Streptophyta, Magnoliopsida, Rosales, Cannabaceae. The transcript has 2 exons.
UCGUAUCAUCAUUUCUGUGCCUUGUUGAAUUUUGAUCUUAUCACGUUUUGAAAUUCCUACUCUCACCAUUUACAACAGGGAUCAUCAUCAUGUCUUUGUAACAAAAAAAAUAAAAAAUCAGGGCUGUGAUGUAUUAUUGAGAAGAAAGAACUAGGGUUUAAUUUUAAAUGGUGAGUAAUUUCAUGAUCAUCUGUUGUUUAAUUACCUUAAUUAUUUAUGCUUUUCUUAUGUAGGAAUUGCGUCUGGUAUGAAAAUCUCUUAUUAAAAGUAAUCUGGUAGCAUAGAAUAGUAUUGGGUCUCCAGUGACAGGGAAUUUGAAAGAAAUUUAGUAAUUAUUAGAUUUGAUAAAGGUUUUGCUGAAUGCUAGAAAGCAAACAUUAUUGAUAAGAAAAUGAGACAUCAAAAUAUGCUAUCCUGCAGAGUUGCAUCUAGUUAUCAUAUUCUACUGUGAGUUUCUAUUGAACUAUUGAUCUUUAUUUAUUUUGUUCCUUUGAGUUUACUGAUUGUCCGGAAUGAUUUGUGGCACUUGGAAUCAGGUCUUGCAGAUCCUGAUAAUUACCAUGAGUAUUGUCGUCUCCUUGGACGCUUCCGAGUGAAUUACCAGUUGUCAAAGCUCGUAAAUGUUGAAGGUUAUAGUGAUUGGAUUCGAUUAGUGGAAGAAUUCACUUUAAAGUCUUUGCAAUCUUGGCAGGUUCGUAUUAUCAGUGUUAACCGUUGCACAAAUUUCGUCAGCCAAAAGAGUAACACAUAAAGAUGGAAAAAACAAAGAGACAAGUAUUGCACACACUCACAUAAUAUUUCUGAUGAAGCUCGACAUGAGAUAUUACUUUGAUAGAUUAAAUUCUUCUUUCUUUUUGUUUAUUUUUGUUAAUAUUUUUAGUUUCUUUAUCUUUAAAAUAAAAUAAAAUUGAACCUCAUGUUACUAAAUUGAACCUCCCCAAAAAAUAAAAUUGGUCCUAUUUUGUACCAAAUGAUUUAUCUAUCUUUUUUCUUUCUUUUCUUGAUGUCUCCACUACUUGGGAGUUGGAAGUGGGAGUUGGGAGUGUGAUGUCCAUUUCAGGCCAAAUUUAGUAUUCUACUUUGCUUUUGCCAAGCUCUCGUGUUGUAAUUUAUUUUCAAAUUGUAUUCUCUUUACGAUGAUAA